GCCCGGUUGGCUAAGUGGUAUAGCGUCUCACUAGUAAUGAGAAGAUCAUGAGUUCGAUUCUCAUACUGGGCU
Molecule: transfer RNA, 72 nt
Filed under: Cordyceps militaris CM01
Lineage: Eukaryota; Fungi; Ascomycota; Sordariomycetes; Hypocreales; Cordycipitaceae
Description: tRNA-Thr (AGT) (tRNA-Thr-AGT-1 1 to 3)
Rfam family: tRNA
About the family: Transfer RNA (tRNA) molecules are approximately 80 nucleotides in length. Their secondary structure includes four short double-helical elements and three loops (D, anti-codon, and T loops).
Source: RNAcentral